RNAcentral lists this transfer RNA (58 nucleotides) under Stenocladius bicoloripes. RNAcentral's name for it is "tRNA-Ser". The record is from RNAcentral. Lineage: Eukaryota; Metazoa; Arthropoda; Insecta; Coleoptera; Lampyridae.
AGAAAUAAUAUUAAGAAGCUUCUAACUUCUAAAUCAGCAAACAAUGUUAGUAUUUCUA